This 468-nucleotide ribosomal RNA is filed under the name uncultured bacterium. Its description in RNAcentral is "partial 16S ribosomal RNA". It matches the Rfam family "Bacterial small subunit ribosomal RNA", at positions 28 to 507 of the family's 1533-position model. The record is from RNAcentral.
GACGAACGCUGGCGGCGUGCUUAACACAUGCAAGUCGAACGGAAAGGCCCUGCUUUUGUGGGGUGCUCGAGUGGCGAACGGGUGAGUAACACGUGAGUAACCUGCCCUUGACUUUGGGAUAACUUCAGGAAACUGGGGCUAAUACCGGAUAGGAGCUCCUGCUGCAUGGUGGGGGUUGGAAAGUUUCGGCGGUUGGGGAUGGACUCGCGCCUUAUCAGCUUGUUGGUGGGGUAGUGGCUUACCAAGGCUUUGACGGGUAGCCGGCCUGAGAGGGUGACGGGCCACAUUGGGACUGAGAUACGGCCCAGACUCCUACGGGAGGCAGCAGGGGGGAAUAUUGCACAAUGGGCGGAAGCCUGAUGCAGCAACGCCGCGUGCGGGAUGACGGCCUUCGGGUUGUAAACCGCUUUCGCCUGUGACGGAGCGUGAGUGACGGUAAUGGGUAAAGAAGCACCGGCUAACUACGUG